Molecule: long non-coding RNA, 742 nt
Organism: Drosophila serrata
Lineage: Eukaryota; Metazoa; Arthropoda; Insecta; Diptera; Drosophilidae
Source: RefSeq, a predicted model, not a curated record
UUGCAAUUUUAAUCUUCAAUUAUAUUGUUCAUCGGAAAAGUUUAACAUAAGUUUGUUAGCUAUCUUUGGCAGUCACUUAAAAGUUUAAAAGAGUUUAAGUGUAUUAAUUUCAAUGCAUUAAUUUAAUGCAAACAUAAGUGGAUACAGUGUCGAAUGCUAAAAAGCGGCGGGAUGACCAGAUAGAAGACUCACCGCCAACGAUCAUGAGAGCAUCUUCCGAGGACAUCGCUGAGACACAGCCUUUGAAGAACAAAGUUUUCACCUCGUCCGACUCCUUGGGGUGCUCCGUCAAGAAGUGCAAGAUGUGCUCCCCAACAAGACACGGCCAAGAACCACUUUCGGUUUUCAGGCAUUGCAUGUACCAUGCAUUUCAACCAAAAUUUCAAAAAAAAACUCAAAGGAUGAGAUAGAAGACUCUCCGCCAACGGUCUUGAGAGCAUCUUCCAAGGACAUCAGUGGGACAUAUUUCGCCUCGUCCGACUCCUUGAGGUGCUCCACAACAAGACACGGACAAGAACCGAUUUCGAUGACGAUGACGGCCAUGACUCUUUAAUACUUCAAGGAGAGGAACUGAAGACCAAAGAAGUUGUGCUUUUCAAGUCGAAAAUAAUCGUGACCUGGUCCAUGUUGAUUGGCGGACGAGAAACCUGGCUCUUGAUGACUCGCAACCAUCCCCACCAAUGUAUCCCUACGGAUUGCCAUCAAGUCUCUUUUGUGGUAAUCAUCGCUGGUGGGGACCACA